This is a long non-coding RNA of Sapajus apella (tufted capuchin), 438 nucleotides long. RefSeq lists it as uncharacterized. The transcript has 3 exons. Lineage: Eukaryota; Metazoa; Chordata; Mammalia; Primates; Cebidae. The record is from RefSeq and is a predicted model, not a curated record.
UUAUAAACUAAUAUAUGUGAGAGUACUUGGCUGAAACAAAAAGGAGUUUCAGUAGGGAGAAUUGUACUAUAUUUGAAAAUCAAGAAGUUUAUGCAACUUAAAAUGUUUAUAGACUGCAGUGCCAUCUACUGUUUGUGAAUGUCAACGUAUUAUCAGGAAAAGUGUCUGUACAAUCACAGAGUUUUAUUUCCUCACCAAGUUCUUUACCAAGAGUGAAAUAUGUUUUUAUACCUUUCGGUUUCAGUUAAAGGCAUAUUUUGUGCAAGAUUUCUGUUAAUGUGCCUCUACAUUAUGAAUGAAUUCUUUCAGUCAGACAUUGCCUAAAUCAUAACUUUAUGAUGCUUGGGACAGAAUCAACAGUUGAAGCUUCAUGAAGUUCUAAUGUCUGUGUGCCAAAAUACGUCCCAUUGUUAGGAUGGAGGGAGACAUGCAUGUGUG